Cloeon dipterum is the source of this 571-nucleotide long non-coding RNA. RefSeq lists it as uncharacterized. The transcript is spliced from 4 exons. The record is from RefSeq and is a predicted model, not a curated record. Lineage: Eukaryota; Metazoa; Arthropoda; Insecta; Ephemeroptera; Baetidae.
ACGGCGUUUGGUAGUGGGAAUGUGAUACUGAGUCAAGUUUUAGUGGGGUUUACUGGUGUGCCGCUGGAGGUUUCCCUGGAUACAGCGCUUGUUGGUGACGAUCUAUUCAUCGGUCCCUCACAGCUGACAUCUGCGUAACAGCACAGAAUUUCUCCAAAUUUGAUCCAAACAAUGAAAACGGUCCUGCUGAUUCCGUUAUUUUUGGUCCUCGCCUUCGCACACGCACGCGAUGCUGACAUACAUUUUGAAGACAAAUCAAUCAACAACUGGAGACUCCUGAUAGGUGCAAAUGAAAAGGAACUGAAGUACGACUUUUGUCGGUAUAACGCGACAAGCGGCGGAACACAGUGCACAAAUUUUCCGCAGGUCGCCUCGAUAAACAUAAAAGAUGUGUGCCAUUGCACCGUCGAUAGCACGCCGAUCAAAACUGGCUCCAUCACUUUCUCCGUCAGCUGCCACAGCAAUUUGAGUUGGUGCCCCCAGAAUCUGGACCUAAAGUACCAGCAAGGUUCCAUCGAGAAGUCUCCACUCGCUGAAGCAUGUUCAGAAACUAGUAUCGGUCUGCAUUAUU